CAGCAGUUUGGAAUCAUUUGCACAAUGGGCGAAAGCCUGAUGCCUGCGACUGCCGCGUGAGGGAUGAAGGCCUUCGGAUUGUAAACCUCUUUCACUAGGGAAGAAACGCUGAAUCCUAAUACGAUUCAGCCUGACUUAACCCAGAGAGGAAGCCGUGGCUAACUCUGUGCCAGCAGCCGCGGUAAUACAGAGACUGCAAGCGUUAUUCGGAUUCACUGGGCGUAAAGGGUGCGCAGGCGGCCGUGUGUGUCAAAUGUGAAAUCCCGGGGCUUAACCCCGGAACUGCGUCUGAAACUACACGGCUAGAGCAUUGGAGAGGGAAGUGGAAUUCAUGGUGUAGCAGUGAAAUGCGUAGAUUCAUGAGGAACACCGAGGCGAAGGCGACUUCCUGGACAAUUGCUGACGCUCAGGCACGAAAGCCUGGGUGGCGAAAAGGGAUUAAAUACCCCUGUAGUCCACGCCCUAAACGGUGCAUACUAGGU
RNAcentral lists this ribosomal RNA (482 nucleotides) under uncultured bacterium. Its description in RNAcentral is "bacterial SSU rRNA". It matches the Rfam family "Bacterial small subunit ribosomal RNA", at positions 349 to 821 of the family's 1533-position model. The record is from RNAcentral.